This 977-nucleotide long non-coding RNA is filed under the name Equus asinus (donkey). RNAcentral describes it as "lncRNA (ENSEASG00005029961.1)". Lineage: Eukaryota; Metazoa; Chordata; Mammalia; Perissodactyla; Equidae. The record is from RNAcentral.
GGCUCGGGGCUCCGGCUCCUCGUGGCGGGUGGGUACCCGGCCGGCCCGGGUGUGGCUGGGCUCGUCCCGCGUCCCCUCGAGCUUUGCCCGCCCGGAGCUCCGCUGCUCCCGGCGGCCAGGACGGAGGGGUAGAGCAGCCCUCGGCGGCCCGGGGGGCGGGCGGCCGUGCCCGUCCAGAGGCCGCGCGAGGCACAGACGCCGCGGGGCGCCGUCCGGAGGAGGCUUCCCGGUGGGCAGCCCCGGCCGCGGUAACAGCUUUGCGCUUUGCUUCCCCAGGGCGCAGCCGCGGCUACUUGGUAGCGGGUUCGGGGCCCGGCCGCGCCUGCGGCGGCGAGAGCCAUUCUGGACCGACCUCGGGCCUGCGGAGGUUGUGUGCGGCGUCUGCGGGGUGCAGCGGCCUCAGUUCUGAGCGCAGGUUGAAAACUACAGAUGAAGCAACAGGUCAGAUAGUGACUCAAGGUCCUAUCACAUAUGCAUAGCUCUGAACAAGGAGCCUCAUAGGUAACUGUCUGGCUGUAUGACCUCUGAAAAAUCACUUAUCUUUCUUGGGAUUUAGUGUCCUUGGGAUUAGACCAGUUUUGGAGGGAAACACCACAGUAGAGCUAUUAAGAAUAUAAGCUUUUCAUAAUAUUUAGUUCUGUUACACCUCCAGAAGUUACCCAAAAUUUGGCAUAAAGGGAGCAUCUGUCAGCAUGUUAGGUGUUUUUGAUGAAUGUAGCAUAAUGAGCUGUAAAAGGAUUUAAAGAACACAAUGGUGCUAGGUUAGAAUGUGAAGGUUUUGGAGGUGAUGGGGAAAGUUUCCAUGUGGGAAGAAAUGUGAUAGUGUAGCGAGAUGAACAACCCAGUAUGUGCUAGAAGGAGUUCUUCCUGUUGACCAGCUCUGAAUGUCUGCAAAUACCUCAUUUUCCAGAAGUCUUAAAUAAAGAUAUUUAAUAUUCACCUUGGAGUCAUAAUGCUUAUUUCAUAAUAUUUUUCUA